This 1155-nucleotide long non-coding RNA is filed under the name Lupinus angustifolius (narrow-leaved blue lupine). RNAcentral's name for it is "long non-coding RNA (LANG_LNC003347)". The record is from RNAcentral. Lineage: Eukaryota; Viridiplantae; Streptophyta; Magnoliopsida; Fabales; Fabaceae.
AACAACGGAAUUUUGAAUGACGCUGUUGAAAAUGAGGCGGAAGAACAUCAACAUCGCAUAAUAAAACAAGCAUUGUCAAUUCUUGUAACUUCAACAGCGCAUUCUUGACAAUACGCUGUUGAACAUGUAACGUUAGCGCUGGCUUGAAUGAUUUAUUUUUAACAGCGCAUUUGAUAGAAAGCAUUGUUGAUGGGAAUAUAUGAAACAACACAUAUUUAAGGAAGCGUUGUAGAAGAUGACAUAGUAACCACACUUGCUUAAUUAUGCGCUGUUGAUUUUUUACGAUUUUUAAGCGUCCGAGAAAUUAAUGGUGGCGUAGUAAUGCGUCUCGUCGUUUGUUGAAAUAUUAAUGGUUGAGUGGUUAUAUGUUUCUUGGUUGUUGAAAUAUUAAUGGUUGAGUAGUUAUACAUCUCUUCGUUUGUUAAAAUAUUAAUGGUUGCUCAUCUAUAAAUAUUGUGGUUCACUCAAUGUUCUAAUUCAUCAUUUAGCUUAGAGCCUAAGAGUAUGUGUUCCUAUACGAGUAUGUUCAUGAAGAUAGGAGGAAGAAAACACAAAGUAGUAAAAAAAAGAGCAAUAUUUCAAAGAGUGAAAAAGAGAAAAAGCACACAGGUUUGUAUAGAGGAGUCGAGGAAAAAAUUGUGUUUAUGUUUCAGAAUCAUGUCAAGGAGGUUUUUAACAAGUUUUGAUUUCAGAAGGAAAGUGACUGUUAUACAAGAUUUGCGUGAGAUGAAACAAUUGAAAGUAAAUAAAAGGAAAAGGGGAAUGAAUUAUUUAGUUCAUUGAGCUCUUUCAAUUUUUAUUUAUCUCUUUUAAUUAUUUUCCUUCAUCAUUGACAGCAAUUCCUAAAGUUCAUUGAUUUCUCUCAUUCGAUUUUCAUGGGAAAAGACAUAGAUUUUAAAAGGAAAUCAAUGAACUGUUGUACAAGAUUUGUGUAGAGGAGUAGAGGAAAAAGUUAUGGACAAGAUUAUUUCCUCUUCUACCAAAUCAUUUAGUUUAUUAUAUUCGGAAGUAUCAUAUCAUUUAGUUCAUUAUAAUGUAUUUUGCCUCUCUGAAUGAAUAAUAAAACAAUUAUUUUGGAUGUUAAUUUCUACUUUUUGUUAAUUAUUUGGAUGUUUAUUCUCUUUAAUAUUUUUGCAUCGUUCCUUAUUAAUAAAC